UUCUGCCUCUCCGUGUCCCCCCCCCCUUUUGCCAACUCUGAUUCUCGGUCCAAUGAGACGGAGGUGAGACCCCCCAGGAGGCCGAGGGUGGCUUGGCAGGCGUGGAAUCCAGAAGAGGAAGAGGAGAACCAGGUGGAGAUCAUACGUCCACGUGAGUAAUUGGUGGGAAGCACUGGGGACAGCAGUCAUGCUCUACUCAAAGCUGGCAGCCACUUUUUCUGGCACCACCUUUUCUGAAACCCCCCUCCCCAGCAUGGAGUCCAGCUCUAGCUAAAGGGAUCGUGGUACCAUGGAAUCCUGGAAUGGUUGGGUGUGGAGGGGCCUCAAAGCCCUCACGGGCCCAGCCCCUGCCGUGGGCUGGUUGCCACCCACUAGAUCAGGCUGCCCGUGGCCCCAUACAGCCUUGCCUUUAGCACCUCCAAGGAUGGGGCACCUGCGGCUUCUCUGGGCAGCCUGUGCCAGUGCCAACCUCUCCCAGCCUGUUGGGAUGGCUGACGAGAGGCUGCUGCGCUGGCAGGAGGUACCCGCAUUUCCGCAGUCAGGCUCAGGGAAGCUGGCAGGAUGGAUGGCUCCGUGCAACACGCUGGGGCCAUUCCUUCCGUCACUCCUUCCCUUCAGCCCCUCUCCAUGGUGCUCAUUGUUCUCCUCCUUGCUUAGGUACUACCAUAUGGGAGCUGUGGAGAAAAGCGGCCAUUCUAUGCAUCGGUGAGUUUCUGAAGAGACAGGACAAGGUAAGAGCAGCUGCUUCCACUGUGGUGCCCCUGCUGUUCUCCAGGCUGCUGCCCUGCAGGCAUUGCACCGCGCCCCACGAUGCUUGGGGUCCUGCUGGCCAUUGAUCUCACCUUCAUGCUCCCUCUUGUUCCCUCUGCGACCACCAGGAUGAGCGACAGAAAAUCAAAUUCCUGAGCAGCAUCUGCGUACUGUGCAAAUGCAAGGACACGUCGCUCGACUUGAAUACUUUCUGCCGAGAAAACCAGCUGGCAGAGAAUGUCCAGGUGAGGAGAUAUGCACUGGGCUGGAGACGGGGGCAUGGACCCCCUGCACCUUGUGUGGACAGGACUGGCACGGGGAGAAGUGAGCACGGACGUGGAACUGUCUUCUGGUGGCUGCCACAUCCCGUCCCUCCUGUGUUCUGUAGGCGCUGAUCGAUGAGGAGGCCAUGCACGCUUUGUGCUCAGUGAUAAAGCAGAAAGUCAUGCUGACCUUUGCUGACAUGAGCACUGUGGAGACAGCACUGGAAGGCAAAACAGAGAGCAUCCUGAAUUCCUGCUUCAACAGUGUCUUCUUUUUGCCUCCGGAACUGGACGUACCAGAAGAGGAGCAAACUCUCUACACUAAGACCAUGAUUGCCAUGAACGUCAUGCUGCGAGCCUUGGUGCACAACUGCCCCAGCUCCAGAAUGAGGGAGGAGAUGUGCAGCAUCUUUCAGGUCUGGCAGCUACGGAGAGUGGGGUCACUAGGAGGGUUCCACACCCCGAGGGAUGCGCGUGUCGCUCCUGCAGUGGCACAGACCCUCCUUGCCCCAGACAGUCCUACAAAGGAUCCCAUCCCUGCUGCUCUGCUCUGCUCUGCUCUUCCUUCCCAGUGGGGAAGAUCCCAGAGCUCCUGCUGGAGCCACGCAAGCUCCCAGGGCAAGUACCAGCAGAUUCUCUCCUUGCAGGCUCUGCUCCACUUCUUCCACUCCCAGCACAUGCACGUUCGUACGAGAGCCCUGUACGGGGUUUUACGGAUGAUCACGGACUUUAUAGAAAAAGACUGGUACUGCGCUGCAAAUUGCGGGUUUAUAUAUGAGUCACUCAUCGAGGUCUACUUCCCAAUCCUGGGACAGCUGCUGGGUCACCUCUGCCUUUUCAGUUGUGGCCAACAUGCCACCAGAGUUCCAGCUACAGAUGCUCUUUAUCGCCUCUAUGCAUUUGUCAAACGCGAUAGAAGUAAGAGAAGAUGGGUUGGGCAGCAUCUCUGCGCUCCCGUGUCUGCUCGUUGUCUCCUGUUCUUGGGCACUGUUAAGCCUGGAGACCGUGGAGUCUGCAAGUUCCCUGGGCUCUUUUACUCUUCAGAGCAGCUUCAUCCUUCCUAAGCUGCCUCUCGUUCCAAGCACCCAUCACCUUUAGCUGUACAGUCCCUUUCCUCCACUCUCUUCUCCGUGGGUCCCAUCAGGCUAUGUCUGCUCACCAAUGGUCUCCAACACCACGGGUCUCCUCAGGCCUUUUCAGAUUAAAGCAGCUUUUCCCCACUUGCUGAGUUUGAUGGCAAAGACACUGUUUCCUUCUGACUCUUCUGUGUUCCCUCCCUUUUAGGAACAGCCCUGACAGAGGAGAUGGAAAAGUACGUGCAUCUCCGGGAGAAGCUGCAGGAUACUAAUUUUGCAUGCGAUAACUUGUGCAGUCCCAGUGAUUGUGCCAAGGUAACCUUCUGCCUUGCUGAGGAUCUCGUCCACAGCAUCAGCAGGAAAUGUUUGUGAGCAAAGGGAGUGUCACGGCAGCAGAUCCAGCCCUCCAGGCUGUCAGCAAGCCCUUCUUACCGACUGCCCAUGCCCCCGC
This is a long non-coding RNA of Gallus gallus (chicken), 2540 nucleotides long. The record is from Ensembl. Lineage: Eukaryota; Metazoa; Chordata; Aves; Galliformes; Phasianidae.